Molecule: ribosomal RNA, 253 nt
Filed under: uncultured bacterium
Lineage: Bacteria
Description: partial 16S ribosomal RNA
Rfam family: Bacterial small subunit ribosomal RNA
Source: RNAcentral
UACGGAGGGCGCAAUCGUUGUUCGGAAUUACUGGGCGUAAAGGGCGUGUAGGCGGUCUGGUAAGUCGGUUGUGAAAUCCCCGGGCUCAACCCGGGAACUGCAUCCGAAACUGCUGGGCUAGAGUUCCGGAGAGGAAGGCAGAAUUCCCAAUGUAGGGGUGAAAUCCGUAGAUAUUGGGAGGAAUACCAGUGGCGAAGGCGGCCUUCUGGACGGUGACUGACGCUGAGACGCGAAAGCGUGGGGAGAAAACAGG